Phragmites australis (common reed) is the source of this 69-nucleotide small nucleolar RNA. RefSeq annotates it as small nucleolar RNA Z105. Lineage: Eukaryota; Viridiplantae; Streptophyta; Magnoliopsida; Poales; Poaceae. The transcript has a single exon. The record is from RefSeq and is a predicted model, not a curated record.
CUGGCAUGAUGAGGAAAACCUACUUUUUUUCUGAUCUAUCUGAUGAGAAAUACCUCCUACUCAUUCUGA